Non-coding RNA from Biomphalaria pfeifferi, 1300 nucleotides. Lineage: Eukaryota; Metazoa; Mollusca; Gastropoda; Planorbidae. The record is from the annotation of a GenBank genome assembly.
AUUUUUAUUUUAAUUUUAUUUGGUUUCAUUUUAUUUUAUAUAGAAAUAAAAAGACAUGUAGAAAGUUUCUCCAAACUAAAUGAAAUACAGCAUAAUGAACAUUGGAGAGCAAGUGAACGGAACGUAGAUAAAUGCUGAGAUAAAUGAACGCACACAAACACAUACACACACGCAAAUAUCUUGUUCUUAUUACUACAUAAAAGCAGAUGAAGCAACCACAACGCACGUGACAACGGUUUACAAAUGUAGAGCCUUUAUCUUAAAACAAUUGAAUUUCCAAAAUCUUUGGAUCUAUUUCUCUAUUCUUCUCUAUCUCUAAUACACACACACAGACACGCAGAAACACACAAGCAUACAACAGAAACACACAGCAUACACACAGAAACACACACGCAUACACACAGAAACACACACCAAUAAGAAAUGUAAAGAUUAGCAUGUAUUAAGCUACCUUCCCAGUUUCACGAGGUUUUAAGAAAGAUGCACAUUGUUCGUCUCUUGUUUAAUUGUGCACUGAAGUAGGUCUACUUGCCACUUUUGGGCUUUGUUGAUGUCAAAAUAAUGUCAACUGAAAACGUAAUGAUUUUUACAAAAACAGACCUCAGCAGCUCCAACCAAAGGUUCAAAUGUUUCUACAUAAAUCGAAUAAAUCAUUUUCAUAUCAAUGCAAUUGAAUAUAGUUUAUGAACAUUGGUAUUGAGUCAGUUUAUCAAACCUAAGCAUAUUAGCUUUUAGCAUAAACUAAGUCUAUUAGUACAUGCACUAUUUUUUAAGGCAGUUUUCGUCGAUUUAGUAAUAAGACAAAUGGAACUGAAAAUUGUCAAAUAGAUAGACACAUUGAAAACGUGAUUCCUGGUGUUCACAUUAUGUAGGAGGCUCAUGAAUAAUCUAUUUAAUUUACAUAAGACAGGCCCAAGAUUAAUUUAUUCAGUUGAAUGUUCAAAUUUUUAAAAUUUAAUGAUCAUAUUUAAAAAACAAAUACACAAUAAAAUAUACAUAAAAUCAAAGCUAAUACUGAUAUAAAUAACCCUUAACAUAAUUAUUGACGUAAUCAAAUUCAGAAAUCAGAAAUAAAAAACUAUGUACAUGAGAAAUGUAUGUUUGAAAACUCUUUUAAAAGAUCAAUAAUAAUAUAAUAUUCUAUCGAAUAACGAAAUAACCGAAACAAAAAUGUAAAACAUUGAUGUCGAAAAUCAAAAGAUAUUACAAAGCAAAAAUUUGAUAUUUCUUGAAUAAUUAAUGUUUGUCAAUCUAAUCAUGUUUGUUAUCACUUAAUGUUUGUUAUCACUUAAGGAUUGUU